This 481-nucleotide ribosomal RNA is filed under the name uncultured bacterium. RNAcentral's name for it is "partial 16S ribosomal RNA". It matches the Rfam family "Bacterial small subunit ribosomal RNA", at positions 30 to 507 of the family's 1533-position model. The record is from RNAcentral.
AUUGAACGCUGGCGGCAUGCUUUACACAUGCAAGUCGAACGGUAACAGGCCGCAAGGUGCUGACGAGUGGCGAACGGGUGAGUAAUGCAUCGGAACGUGCCCAGUCGUGGGGGAUAACUACUCGAAAGAGUAGCUAAUACCGCAUACGAUCUAUGGAUGAAAGCGGGGGACCGUAAGGCCUCGCGCGAUUGGAGCGGCCGAUGUCAGAUUAGGUAGUUGGUGGGGUAAAGGCUCACCAAGCCAACGAUCUGUAGCUGGUCUGAGAGGACAACCAGCCACACUGGGACUGAGACACGGCCCAGACUCCUACGGGAGGCAGCAGUGGGGAAUUUUGGACAAUGGGCGCAAGCCUGAUCCAGCAAUGCCGCGUGCAGGAAGAAGGCCUCGGGUUGUAAACUGCUUUUGUACGGAACGAAACGGCUCUGGUUAAUACCCGGGGCUAAUGACGGUACCGUAAGAAUAAGCACCGGCUAACUACGUG